RNAcentral lists this ribosomal RNA (259 nucleotides) under uncultured archaeon. RNAcentral's name for it is "partial 16S ribosomal RNA". It matches the Rfam family "Archaeal small subunit ribosomal RNA", at positions 748 to 1008 of the family's 1478-position model. The record is from RNAcentral.
AGGGUGUAAACGCUGCAGACUUGGUGUUGGGAACCCUUCGGGGUGCUCAGUGCCGGAGAGAAGUUGUUAAGUCUGCUACUUGGGGAGUACGUCCGCAAGGAUGAAACUUAAAGGAAUUGGCGGGGGAGCACCGCAACGGGAGGAGCGUGCGGUUUAAUUGGAUUCAACGCCGAAAAACUCACCAGCAGCGACUGUUACAUGAAGUCAGGUUGAUGACCUUACUAGAUUUUCAGAGAGGAGGUGCAUGGCGUCAGUGACU